CCUACGGGAGGCAGCAGUAGGGAAUAUUGGACAAUGGGUGAGAGCCUGAUCCAGCCAUGCCGCGUGCAGGAAGAAGGCGUUAUGCGUUGUAAACUGCUUUUGCCAGGGGAUAAAACGGUUCUGCGGAACUAAUUCGAAGGUACCUGGUGAAUAAGCCACGGCUAACUACGUGCCAGCAGCCGCGGUAAU
This 189-nucleotide ribosomal RNA is filed under the name uncultured bacterium. RNAcentral describes it as "partial 16S ribosomal RNA". It matches the Rfam family "Bacterial small subunit ribosomal RNA", at positions 338 to 524 of the family's 1533-position model. The record is from RNAcentral.